RNAcentral lists this unclassified non-coding RNA (287 nucleotides) under Tolypocladium sp. RNAcentral describes it as "partial contains 5.8S ribosomal RNA, internal transcribed spacer 2, and large subunit ribosomal RNA". The stretch from base 1 to 71 matches the Rfam family "5.8S ribosomal RNA", at positions 84 to 154 of the family's 154-position model. Lineage: Eukaryota; Fungi; Ascomycota; Sordariomycetes; Hypocreales; Ophiocordycipitaceae. The record is from RNAcentral.
GUGAAUCAUCGAAUCUUUGAACGCACAUUGCGCCCGCCAGCAUUCUGGCGGGCAUGCCUGUCCGAGCGUCAUUUCAACCCUCGAGCCCCCCGGGCUUGGUGUUGGGGACCGGCCUCGCGCCGCCCCCGAAAUGCAGUGGCGACCUCGCCGCAGCCUCCCCUGCGUAGUAGCACAACCUCGCACCGGAGCGCGGAGACGGUCACGCCGUGAAACGCCCAACUUUCAAGAGUUGACCUCGGAUCAGGUAGGAAUACCCGCUGAACUUAAGCAUAUCAAUAAGCGGAGGA